Molecule: RNA transcript, 2049 nt
Organism: Anguilla rostrata (American eel)
Lineage: Eukaryota; Metazoa; Chordata; Actinopteri; Anguilliformes; Anguillidae
Gene: dtx3la
Gene name: deltex E3 ubiquitin ligase 3L a
Exons: 5
Source: RefSeq, a predicted model, not a curated record
ACGUUUGGCUCAUUAUAUGGGAGGGAAGUGUGUUUAUAAAGAGGAGACUUCUCCGGCACUGGCGGCAAGAACACCAGUCGCUCCGUCUCGCUUCUGCGCCAGUUGCCACGGAGAUUACCUGUCGCGCCACGCCCUCAUCUGAAACAAACCGCUCACAGGUUCGUAAGGGAGGAGUAGCAAAGAGAGGAAGGAUUCCAGGAAAGAUUCCGAGACAGACGAGGAUCAUGGGGACAACUCACGGCAAGCACACUUUUGUACAGAAUGAGAGGAUUGUGGGAAACCAGCCAGAGGGACAUAUGACAUGGGUCUACACAAAAAAGCACCUCCCAGGUUAUCCACGCUAUGGCACCAUUGAGAUGUUUUUCGAAUUUGAGGACGGGAUACAGACGGAGAAACACCCCAAUCCAGGGGAGAAGUAUUAUGGACAGAACAUUAAAGCUUACCUGCCCGACAACGGACAUGGGAGAAAGGUGGUGACGCAAUUGAAGAAGGCUUUCGACCAGAAGUUGGUGUUCACCGUGGCCACCAACAACAGUGGCGAAGACGCGGUCGCCCUGAGCGACAUCCCCCUCAAAACCCGGGACGACACUUCUGGACCCAGUAGCUUGUGCUACCCGGACACUCUGUACCUGAAGAAAGUAAACCAGAUCCUCAUAUCCAAACACAUUGAAUGAAGUGGCAGAUGGACACCUGUUUAAAACCCUUUGAUGAAUGGACAGCAAAACACGUGGACUAAUUUUUUUUUUUUUACAGAAUUUUUUGUAUUUUUAUACACUGCUUUGUUUACCAAUUGAUACAGUUCUCUUCUUUAUUUUUUUCCCUCUGAAUCUUUGAUAUUUGAUAUGUUUUAGGAUUGACAAAUUUAAAGAUUCGUUAGGACUCAACAAACUGAGGCUGCACAGAAAAAGGCUUGCAUUGGUUUAGCCGUUAGCGGUUAGCCACCGUUAGCGGUUAGCCACUGUUAGCCGUUAGCGGUUAGCUACCGUUAGCGGUUAGCCACUGUUAGCCGGUAGCGGGUUAGCUACCGCUAGCUGUUAGCGGUUAGCCACCGUUAGCGGUUAGCCACUGUUAGCCGUUAGCGGUUAGCCACCGUUAGCGGUUAGCCACUGUUAGCCGGUAGCGGUUAGCUACCGCUAGCUGUUAGCCGGAACACAACUGCCCACAGUUGUCCCACAGGCGUGCAGUCACCUUGUCCACACUGUUUGCUCCGGUGGCAGAUGGUACCACUGACUGGAACUGGCUCACAGUCAUGUAGGCUAGGGCUGGGGAAAGAGGGACACGCCUGUCUCUGAACUAAGUACUGCUUUCUGCACAACUGGUCCGAUCAUUUACACUAACUGACGUUCAUGUGUUAUGUGCAUUAGUAUAUGGCAGGACUAUGACGGCGAUGUUCUCAUGCAAUAAAUACGAAAUGUUUACUGUAAUAUAAUCCAUGUAGGGAAUUAAUGGGUAAUGAAUUAAUGGGUAGGGAAUGCUCAUGAGAGCUCAUUUAGAGAGACAGGUCUGUAGGUUUAAAGUGCUACACUUUCCAAAAGAAAAGAGAUCGGAGAAUUCCAUGUCCAACAACAGUGAAAUCCCAAGUGAGAUUCACACAACAUCAACGACGUGAGAUUCUGUGAUGUUGCAGUCACAGUUUCUGUUCAGCCUCAAUAUGCUUCAGAGACCGACAGCCUACGUUUUGCAUGACAUAGUGGGUUGCCUGAGACAGAACUUCGAAAAGACUUUUGUGACCCAAGUUGUCUUAGUAUUUUCUGUUGACAUAAAUGCUCAUUUUAGUGCACUGUUAACAGCUGUUUGCCGGUUCCCCCUUGUGGUCCAGUUUGGCACUACACCCACAUUUCAUAACUUGUAUUUAUUGCUUUUGUACACAAAUGCGGGCCUAUUUCAUUUUAUGCUUAUAUCUAGUACGCACAUUUGUAAAGCUUUGAAAGGCUUUGACCUAAAAAGGCCAUGAUAGUAAUUUAUAUGGAAACAAAAAAGCUUCAUUACUCUUUUUUUUACAGAAGGCUUCAGUUUAUUUUUGAUUGAAUAAAUAAUGACAAAGUAAAA